GCAAGUCGAACGGUAACAGGAAGAGCUUGCUCUUUGCUGACGAGUGGCGGACGGGUGAGUAACGCGUAGGAAUCUGCCCACGGGUGGGGGAUACCGUCUGGAAACGGACGUUAAUACCGCAUAAUGUUUACGGACCAAAGGUGGCUUUCAUUAGCUAUCGUCUGUGGAUGAGCCUGCGUAAGAUUAGCUUGUUGGUGGGGUAAAGGCCUACCAAGGCGACGAUCUCUAGCUGGUCUGAGAGGAUGAUC
Molecule: ribosomal RNA, 248 nt
Filed under: uncultured bacterium
Lineage: Bacteria
Description: partial 16S ribosomal RNA
Rfam family: Bacterial small subunit ribosomal RNA
Source: RNAcentral